CCACGAAGCCCUCGGCCAGCGACUGCCCUCCUACGGCACGUCUGUGCCCCUCUGGGCAGCGCCAAGACGUGACCAGCAGCUGCCCACAGCUGGGCGGCCUCCCCAGGCCAACCCGCCGCCCUGCCAGUACCCCGCUUCUUCUGCAGGUGGGGGCGAAAGCCUGAGACGGGCCCCCAGCACGAGCUGGCCAUCCGGGGUCCGGCCUCUUUUCUCCACUGCCCUCUAGGCCAGGGGUGGGGACGUCCGGCCCACGGGCUGCAGCGGGACGAGAAGUCACUUGGUCUGGCCCUGCCAAGGCGUUGGGGUUUCCCAGCCUCGGACACCAUGUGGCGGGGACUCGCUACCUCGAAAGAGCACCGAGCGGCCAUGGCGCGCUGAGCGGCCCCAGAGGGGUUCCUCUGAAGCUCAGAAUCCACCGCCCCCAGCUCCGCCGGGACACCCGUGACCCGCCUGGCAUCCCUCCCGCCGGCCAGCGCGCUCUGCAUCCUGGCAGCGCCCGGAAGCUUCUCCGCACACAAUGGCAGAGGAACCUGCCCAUCGACCUCCAGGGCUGUGGCGGGGGAGGGGCGGUGCACAGACCACGGAACUGCAGCCUGAGGUGGGCACUCACUCA
Molecule: long non-coding RNA, 613 nt
Organism: Eptesicus fuscus (big brown bat)
Lineage: Eukaryota; Metazoa; Chordata; Mammalia; Chiroptera; Vespertilionidae
Exons: 3
Source: RefSeq, a predicted model, not a curated record